RNAcentral lists this ribosomal RNA (392 nucleotides) under uncultured bacterium. RNAcentral's name for it is "partial 16S ribosomal RNA". It matches the Rfam family "Bacterial small subunit ribosomal RNA", at positions 523 to 917 of the family's 1533-position model. The record is from RNAcentral.
AUACGGAGGAUCCGAGCGUUAUCCGGAUUUAUUGGGUUUAAAGGGAGCGUAGAUGGGUUGUUGAGUCAGUUGUGAAAGUUUGCGGCUCAACCGUAAAAUUGCAAUUGAUACUGGCAGCCUUGAGUACAGUUGAGGUAGGCGGAAUUCGUGGCGUAGCGGUGAAAUGCUUAGAUAUCACGAAGAACUCCGAUUGCGAAGGCUGCCUACUAAACUGCCACUGACAUUGAUGCUCGAAAGUGUGGGUAUCAAACAGGAUUAGAUGCCCUGGUAGUCCACACGGUAAACGAUGAAUACUCGCUGUUUGCGAUAUACAGCAAGCGGCCAAGCGAAAGCGUUAAGUAUUCCGCCUGGGGAGUACGCCUGCAACGGUGAAACUCAAAGGAAUUGACGGG